RNAcentral lists this ribosomal RNA (253 nucleotides) under uncultured bacterium. RNAcentral describes it as "partial 16S ribosomal RNA". It matches the Rfam family "Bacterial small subunit ribosomal RNA", at positions 524 to 776 of the family's 1533-position model. The record is from RNAcentral.
UACGUAGGGUGCGAGCGUUAAUCGGAAUUACUGGGCGUAAAGCGUGCGCAGGCGGUUCGUUAAGUCAGCUGUGAAAGCCCCGAGCUUAACUUGGGAAUUGCGGUUGAAACUGGCGGACUAGAAUCUGGCAGAGGGGGGUGGAAUUCCGGGUGUAGCGGUGGAAUGCGUAGAGAUCCGGAAGAACACCGGUGGCGAAGGCGGUCUGCUGGGGUAAUGCUGACACUGAUGCGCGACAGCGUGGGGAGCAAACGGG